This 319-nucleotide ribosomal RNA is filed under the name uncultured eukaryote. RNAcentral's name for it is "partial 18S ribosomal RNA". It matches the Rfam family "Eukaryotic small subunit ribosomal RNA", at positions 1470 to 1796 of the family's 1831-position model. The record is from RNAcentral.
CCCUUAGAUGGUCUGGGCGGCACGCGCGCUACAAUGAUGCAUUCAAAAAGUCUUCUGGCCUUAGAAGGUUGGGUAUUCUCCAAAGUGCAUCGUGAUGGGAAUAGUUUAUUGCAAUUUUUAAUCUUGAACGAGGAAUUCCUAGUAAGUACAGGUCAUCAACUUGUGUUGAUUACGUCCCUGCCCUUUGUACACACCGCCCGUCGCUCCUACUGAUUGAGUGUCUCGGUGAAUUCUUUGAUCUUCUGUCGAUUCAGUUCACUGAUCCGACGGUGGAAAGUUGAAUGAACUUCGUCACUUAGAGGAAGGAGAAGUCGUAACA